RNAcentral lists this ribosomal RNA (468 nucleotides) under uncultured bacterium. Its description in RNAcentral is "partial 16S ribosomal RNA". It matches the Rfam family "Bacterial small subunit ribosomal RNA", at positions 28 to 507 of the family's 1533-position model. The record is from RNAcentral.
GACGAACGCUGGCGGCGUGCUUAACACAUGCAAGUCGAACGGACAGGCCCUGCUUUUGUGGGGUGCUCGAGUGGCGAACGGGUGAGUAACACGUGAGUAACCUGCCCUUGACUUUGGGAUAACUUCAGGAAACUGGGGCUAAUACCGGAUAGGAGCUCCUGCUGCAUGGUGGGGGUUGGAAAGUUUCGGCGGUUGGGGAUAGACUCGCGGCUUAUCAGCUUGUUGGUGGGGUAGUGGCUUACCAAGGGUUUGACGGGUAGCCGGCCUGAGAGGGUGACCGGCGACAAUGGGACUACGAUACGGACCAGAAGCCUACGGGAGGCAGCAGUGGGGAAUAUUGCACAAUGGGCGGAAGCCUGAUGCAGCAACGCCGCGUGCGGGAUGACGGCCUUCGGGGUGUAAACCGCUUUCGCCUGUGACGAAGCGUGAGUGACGGUAAUGAGUAAAGAAGCACCGGCUAACUACGUG